ACUAGUUCGUUCGCCACCAGUUACGUCCACAACCAUUUAUGCACGUUUCCAGUCCAGAUCGAUUUAUUUGCUCAAGCCGUUGUCGUCUUUUAACUUUCCUCAGUUGUGUUCGUCGUCGUUUCUGCUUGUUAUGUCCGCCGCUAUCACCAGGGUUUACUAACACAUUAGCAGCAGGAGUCUUCUACAUUGGCAUUCUGCCCAUCUGAUGACGACGAUCAACCCAUCAGUGACAAUGCUUCUCAAUCUGACGGCGACUCACGAACUUUUUCUACGCUGUCUUGUAUUUCAAUUCCAUUAAAGCUUGAGUUUUCCACAUUAACACUCAUUUAAUUUGGACUCCAUUUAUAUAAAUACAUCAUCUCUCCUCUCA
Long non-coding RNA from Cucumis melo (muskmelon), 370 nucleotides. RefSeq lists it as uncharacterized. The record is from RefSeq and is a predicted model, not a curated record. The transcript is spliced from 2 exons. Lineage: Eukaryota; Viridiplantae; Streptophyta; Magnoliopsida; Cucurbitales; Cucurbitaceae.